This 122-nucleotide ribosomal RNA is filed under the name Carlito syrichta (Philippine tarsier). The record is from RNAcentral. Lineage: Eukaryota; Metazoa; Chordata; Mammalia; Primates; Tarsiidae.
CCAUACCACCCUGGAUGCGCCCAUUCUCAUCUGAUCUCGGAAGCUAAGCAAGGUGGGGCCUGGUUAGUACUUGGAUGGAAAAGUUUUUUUUAAUCCAAUGUGGCCCCCAAGGCAAGCCGGUG